UUGGUGUCGUCGUCCCAUAAUGUCCCGCAUGCUAUUAUCCAGUGCCUCAACAGCUUGCCGCUUUGUCAUGCUGGCCUCGUCCCAUAGGAUAAGGGAAGCCAUGCGCAGGAGCUUGGCCGUCCCACUUUGCUUGGUGAAGCUGCACGACGCCCCAUCUUCAAUGCUGAGUGGGAUCUUGAACCUCGAGUGGGCUGUCCUGCCUCCAGGCAUGAUGGAAGCGGCGAUGCCCGACGUCGCCGUAGCCACCGCUAUCUUGCCCUCCCCCCGAAC
RNAcentral lists this long non-coding RNA (270 nucleotides) under Hordeum vulgare. RNAcentral's name for it is "long non-coding RNA (HVUL_LNC005772)". The record is from RNAcentral. Lineage: Eukaryota; Viridiplantae; Streptophyta; Magnoliopsida; Poales; Poaceae.